UACGUAGGGAGCAAGCGUUGUUCGGAUUUACUGGGCGUAAAGGGUGCGUAGGCGGCGUGAUAAGUCAUCUGUGAAAUCUCCGAGCUUAACUCGGAACGGUCAGAUGAUACUGUCUUGCUAGAGUGCAGGAAGGGCAAUCGGAAUUCUUGGUGUAGCGGUGAAAUGCGUAGAUAUCAAGAGGAACACCUGAGGCGAAGGCGGGUUGCUAGACUGACACUGACGCUGAUGCACGAAAGCUAGGGGAGCAAACAGG
RNAcentral lists this ribosomal RNA (253 nucleotides) under uncultured bacterium. RNAcentral's name for it is "partial 16S ribosomal RNA". It matches the Rfam family "Bacterial small subunit ribosomal RNA", at positions 524 to 776 of the family's 1533-position model. The record is from RNAcentral.